CCCUUAGAUGUCCUGGGCCGCACGCGCGCUACACUGAUUCAAGCAACAAGUUACAACCUUGACCGAAAGGCCCGGGUAAACUUCAAAAUUGAAUCGUGCUGGGGAUAGACUAUUGCAAUUAUUAGUCUUCAACGAGGAAUUUCUAGUAAGCGCGAGUCAUCAGCUCGCGUUGAUUACGUCCCUGCCCUUUGUACACACCGCCCGUCGCUCCUACCGAUUGAAUGAUUUAGUGAGGACUUCGGACUGGGACCGAUGCGGCUUUCGGGCUGCGUCGGUAUUCUGGAAAGAUGUCCAAACUGUAUCAUUUAGAGGAAGUAAAAGUCGUANCA
RNAcentral lists this ribosomal RNA (329 nucleotides) under uncultured eukaryote. Its description in RNAcentral is "partial 18S ribosomal RNA". It matches the Rfam family "Eukaryotic small subunit ribosomal RNA", at positions 1470 to 1796 of the family's 1831-position model. The record is from RNAcentral.